This 284-nucleotide long non-coding RNA is filed under the name Fukomys damarensis (Damara mole-rat). Its description in RNAcentral is "lncRNA (ENSFDAG00000031926.1)". Lineage: Eukaryota; Metazoa; Chordata; Mammalia; Rodentia; Bathyergidae. The record is from RNAcentral.
CUCAGGAAGGACAGAAGGGAUCACAACAGGCUGCACAUAUCCAGUGGUGUGGGGUGAUAGAUAGAUGCCCAGCGAUAGGCAAGUUGUCUGGAGUGAAUCAUUGCCAAAGUCACACAAUUUAGAUGAUGAAAUAAAAGAACUACCAUGAACUAAACAUCUAUGCUCUGACAUGAGGUUUCUGCUUUGGAGCCUGCUGCCCAUGGACUGAAUCUCCAAAACCAUGAGCCAAAUUAAACCUUUUCUCCUUUAAAUCGUAGAUGUCUUGUAUCAUGUCUCAGUCACAG